Molecule: long non-coding RNA, 241 nt
Filed under: Eucalyptus grandis
Lineage: Eukaryota; Viridiplantae; Streptophyta; Magnoliopsida; Myrtales; Myrtaceae
Description: long non-coding RNA (EGRA_LNC001208)
Source: RNAcentral
GAAGAAUCACUUUCUCCACCUCUCUUUCCAAGUACCCACAUUCUGCUUUACUCUUCUCCACCACUCUCGCUCUCUCUCUCUCUCUCAAGCUCGCCGCCGCUCUCUCUCUCUCUCUCUCUCGUUCACUGUCUAGCCAUGGCUGUCAACAAAGAAUCUGUUCCUCCACCAGUGAUCGGCAAGAUUGGACCCUACACAGUGUUCAUGACCCCGCCCUCCACUCCCAAGCCAACCGAACCCGCAC